This 498-nucleotide ribosomal RNA is filed under the name uncultured bacterium. Its description in RNAcentral is "partial 16S ribosomal RNA". It matches the Rfam family "Bacterial small subunit ribosomal RNA", at positions 28 to 507 of the family's 1533-position model. The record is from RNAcentral.
GACGAACGCUGGCGGCGUGCCUAAUACAUGCAAGUCGAGCGGACGGAUGGGAGCUUGCUCCCAGGCCGUCAGCGGCGGACGGGUGAGUAACACGUGGGCAACCUGCCUGUAAAACUGGGAUAACUCCGGGAAACCGGGGCUAAUACCGGAUAACUCUUUCCCUCACAUGAGGGAAAGCUGACAGAUGGCAUCUCGCUAUCACUUACAGAUGGGCCCGCGGCGUAUCAGCUAGUUGGUGUGGUAACGGCUCACCAAGGCGACGAUGCGUAGCCGACCUGAGAGGGUGAUCGGCCACCCUGGGACUGAGACAGGGCACAGACUCGAACGGGAGGCAGCAGUGGGGAAUCUUCCGCAAAGGACGAAAGUCUGACGGAGCAACGCCGAGUGAGUGAUGAAGGUUUUCGGAUCGUAAAACUCUGUUGUCAGGGAAGAACAAGUACCGGAGUAACUGCCGGUACCUUGACGGUACCUGACGAGAAAGCCACGGCUAACUACGUG